UCGUCUAGAGGCCUAGGACACCGCCCUUUCACGGCGGUAACGGGGGUUCGAAUCCCCCUGGGGACGCCA
This 69-nucleotide transfer RNA is filed under the name Psychrobacter sp. RNAcentral describes it as "tRNA-Glu". It matches the Rfam family "tRNA". From Rfam's summary of the family: Transfer RNA (tRNA) molecules are approximately 80 nucleotides in length. Their secondary structure includes four short double-helical elements and three loops (D, anti-codon, and T loops). Further hydrogen bonds mediate the characteristic L-shaped molecular structure. tRNAs have two regions of fundamental functional importance: the anti-codon, which is responsible for specific mRNA codon recognition, and the 3' end, to which the tRNAs corresponding amino acid is attached (by aminoacyl-tRNA synthetases). tRNAs cope with the degeneracy of the genetic code in two manners: having more than one tRNA (with a specific anti-codon) for a particular amino acid; and 'wobble' base-pairing, i.e. permitting non-standard base-pairing at the 3rd anti-codon position. The record is from RNAcentral. Lineage: Bacteria; Pseudomonadati; Pseudomonadota; Gammaproteobacteria; Moraxellales; Moraxellaceae.